AGCAGCCGCGGUAAUUCCAGCUCCAAUAGCGUAUAUUAAAGUUGUUGCAGUUAAAAAGCUCGUAGUUGAACUUCGGGGUUUACUCAUUGGUCAGGCUUAAUUGUCUGUACUGGUGAGAUAAAUCUCUACCUUCUGAGGAACUUUCAUGCCAUUUAUUUGGUGUGAUUGGAAAUCAGGACUGUUACUUUGAAAAAAUUGAGUGU
RNAcentral lists this unclassified non-coding RNA (203 nucleotides) under uncultured Glomus. RNAcentral describes it as "sequence contains 18S rRNA gene". It matches the Rfam family "Eukaryotic small subunit ribosomal RNA", at positions 569 to 774 of the family's 1831-position model. Lineage: Eukaryota; Fungi; Glomeromycota; Glomeromycetes; Glomerales; Glomeraceae. The record is from RNAcentral.